CCUAACACAUGCAAGUCGAACGGUAACAGGAAGAAGCUUGCUUCUUUGCUGACGAGUGGCGGACGGGUGAGUAAUGUCUGGGAAACUGCCUGAUGGAGGGGGAUAACUACUGGAAACGGUAGCUAAUACCGCAUAACGUCGCAAGACCAAAGAGGGGGACCUUCGGGCCUCUUGCCAUCGGAUGUGCCCAGAUGGGAUUAGCUAGUAGGUGGGGUAACGGCUCACCUAGGCGACGAUCCCUAGCUGGUCUGAGAGGAUGACCAGCCACACUGGAACUGAGACACGGUCCAGACUCCUACGGGAGGCAGCAGUGGGGAAUAUUGCACAAUGGGCGCAAGCCUGAUGCAGCCAUGCCGCGUGUAUGAAGAAGGCCUUCGGGUUGUAAAGACUUUCAGCGGGGAGGAAGGGAGUAAAGUUAAUACCUUUGCUCAUUGACGUUACCCGCAGAAGAAGCACCGGCUAACUCCGUGCCAGCAGCC
This 479-nucleotide ribosomal RNA is filed under the name uncultured bacterium. Its description in RNAcentral is "bacterial SSU rRNA". It matches the Rfam family "Bacterial small subunit ribosomal RNA", at positions 47 to 516 of the family's 1533-position model. The record is from RNAcentral.